GUGGGGAAUAUUGCACAAUGGGCGCAAGCCUGAUGCAGCAACGCCGCGUGAGGGAUGACGGCCUUCGGGUUGUAAACCUCUUUUAGUAGGGAAGAAGCGAAAGUGACGGUACCUGCAGAAAAAGCACCGGCUAACUACGUGCCAGCAGCCGCGGUAAUACGUAGGGUGCAAGCGUUGUCCGGAAUUAUUGGGCGUAAAGAGCUCGUAGGCGGCUUGUCGCGUCUGCUGUGAAAUCCCGGGGCUCAACCCCGGGCCUGCAGUGGGUACGGGCAGGCUAGAGUGCGGUAGGGGAGAUUGGAAUUCCUGGUGUAGCGGUGGAAUGCGCAGAUAUCAGGAGGAACACCGAUGGCGAAGGCAGAUCUCUGGGCCGCUACUGACGCUGAGGAGCGAAAGCAUGGGGAGCAAACAGGAUUAGAAACCCGAGUAGUCC
This 430-nucleotide ribosomal RNA is filed under the name uncultured bacterium. RNAcentral's name for it is "partial 16S ribosomal RNA". It matches the Rfam family "Bacterial small subunit ribosomal RNA", at positions 354 to 796 of the family's 1533-position model. The record is from RNAcentral.